GACGAACGCUGGCGGCGUGCCUAAUACAUGCAAGUCGAGCGAGCGGAACCAACAGAUUUACUUCGGUAAUGACGUUGGGAAAGCGAGCGGCGGAUGGGUGAGUAACACGUGGGGAACCUGCCCCUAAGUCUGGGAUACCAUUUGGAAACAGAUGCUAAUACCGCAUAACAACAAAAGCCACAUGGCUUUUGUUUGAAAGAUGGCUUUGGCUAUCACUCUGGGAUGGACCUGCGGUGCAUUAGCUAGUUGGUAAGGUAACGGCUUACCAAGGCGAUGAUGCAUAGCCGAGUUGAGAGACUGAUCGGCCACAAUGGAAACUGAGACACGGUCCAU
Molecule: ribosomal RNA, 333 nt
Filed under: uncultured bacterium
Lineage: Bacteria
Description: bacterial SSU rRNA
Rfam family: Bacterial small subunit ribosomal RNA
Source: RNAcentral